GGGGGGCUGGCGCAACGGUAGCGCGUCAGAUUCCAGUUGUAUCAUUGGGAUUACCUGAAGGUUAUCGGUUCAAAUCCGGUGUCCCUCA
Molecule: transfer RNA, 88 nt
Organism: Claviceps purpurea 20.1
Lineage: Eukaryota; Fungi; Ascomycota; Sordariomycetes; Hypocreales; Clavicipitaceae
Rfam family: tRNA
About the family: Transfer RNA (tRNA) molecules are approximately 80 nucleotides in length.
Source: Rfam